Molecule: ribosomal RNA, 253 nt
Filed under: uncultured bacterium
Lineage: Bacteria
Description: partial 16S ribosomal RNA
Rfam family: Bacterial small subunit ribosomal RNA
Source: RNAcentral
UACGGAGGGUGCAAGCGUUAUUCGGAAUUACUGGGCGUAAAGGGCGCGUAGGCGGCUUUUUAAGUCAGGCGUGAAAUACCGGGGCUAAACUCCGGAAGUGCGUUUGAAACUAGAAAGCUUGAGUACGGGAGAGGGAAGUGGAAUUCCUGGUGUAGAGGUGAAAUUCGUAGAUAUCAGGAGGAACACCGGUGGCGAAAGCGACUUCCUGGACCGAUACUGACGCUGAGGCGCGAAAGCGUGGGUAGCAAACAGG